This 494-nucleotide ribosomal RNA is filed under the name uncultured bacterium. Its description in RNAcentral is "partial 16S ribosomal RNA". It matches the Rfam family "Bacterial small subunit ribosomal RNA", at positions 28 to 507 of the family's 1533-position model. The record is from RNAcentral.
GACGAACGCUGGCGGCGCGCUUAACACAUGCAAGUCGAACGGAAAGGCCUGCUUUCCCUUGUGGAUUGCGGGUACUCGAGUGGCGAACGGGUGAGUAACACGUGAGUGAUCUGCCCCCAACUUGGGUAUAAGCCUGGGAAACUGGGUCUAAUUCCCGAUAGGACUGCAGGGUGGUGCCUGUGGUGGAAAACGAUUUUCUAGUGGUUGGGGAUGAGCUCGCGGCCUAUCAGCUUGUUGGUGGGGUAAUGGCCUACCAAGGCGGCGACGGGUAGCCGGCCUGGGAGGGUGGACGGCCACAUUGGGACUGAGAUACGGCCCAGACUCCUACGGGAGGCAGCAGUGGGGAAAAUUGCACAAUGGGCGGAAGCCUGAUGCAGCGACGCCGCGUGGGGGAUGACGGCCUUCGGGUUGUAAACUCCUUUCGACCGCGAGGAAGCCACCUGGUUGGAAGGGUGGUGACGGUAGUGGUAGAAGAAGCACCGGCUAACUACGUG